Long non-coding RNA from Brienomyrus brachyistius, 4777 nucleotides. RefSeq lists it as uncharacterized. The record is from RefSeq and is a predicted model, not a curated record. NCBI's taxonomy places the organism in Eukaryota, Metazoa, Chordata, Actinopteri, Osteoglossiformes, Mormyridae. The transcript has 3 exons.
UGUCGCGAUGUUUUGUGUGAUGAUAAUGCCGCUUUACAUUUGUCCAUCUGCAGGCGUGUGAUAUGAUAACAAUGUCCCAGUCCCUGAGUGGAUCAUGCCCAUCUCCCGCCAUUGUAUGGUGCUGCCUCACAGGCUGCUUCUUAGGCCUGGAUUAAACUGCUGUGAUAUAUAGGAUCUCAUAAACACUUCACUUUGAUUUGGUUUCUCUGCCAACUGAGAUUUUGCAUCUUCUCCCGGUUAUUUGGCUCAUGCUGUCACCAGGUAAACCGGCACCACAACCAGACUCUGCUCCGGGCACCAGCCGCUGACACAAAGGCUGCAACACGCUGCUUGUUUGUGAAUUUUUAAUCGCUUGUUAAAAAUUUAACUAAUUUAUGGAAAUAAUUGUGUGAUGAAGGAAGGACCUGCUGUCAGGGGUGGGGCCUUUGAAGUCACACUUCGGGGGGGCGGAGUCGGAAGGCAGGGAAGGCGUCUGACUCCAACGACAUCUCAUUGGGGUUCGGUAAAGCUCAGGGGGCUGACAGUGGGCUUGAAUUACAGGGCUUUGGGGAAACACAUGAUGGGGAUAAUGACAGUGAUACUGACACUGGUGACGAUAAUUAUGUAGAUGGUGACGAUGGUAACGACAGUGAUGGUAACUGGCAAUGGUGGUGGUGGCGAUGAUGGUGACUGUAGCGGUGGUGGUGGUGAUGAUAACAGUAGUUAUUGCAAUGAUGGCAACAGUGAUAAUGGAGAUGAUGACAGUGGCGAUGGUGGUGAGGAUGAUGGUGACUGAUAUAGUGACGGUAAUGGUGAAAAUGGUGGCUCAUGAUGGAGAUGGUGACAGAGUUAAUUGUGAUGAUAUUGAUAAUGGUGGCAUUGAUGACAUUUAUUAUGCUUCCUCUCUCAUUUACGACAGCGACAGCAUGUGUAGCAGAUUUAAGAUGCCCACGCAUGUCUGACAUGAAGCUCUCAUACUAUAUGGGUGUAUUUCGGCGCCCGGGGCCUUUUGCUCGCUUCUGCCCCAAAGGUACCUGCGUGUGUUUUUAUUUUAUUCCAGCACGACAGCUCUAAGGUGUGUGGAUCUCAUGUGACGGUUUUCAUUUCACUGGCUGCUUUUUCCCCAGCAUGGAAAUCAUGGUUUAUUGCCACUCUCUCCCCCCCCCCUCCCCCCCCCCCCCUUUGAAGCUCGCCCGAUUACUGCUGCUCCAGCACGGCUGAAUCACAGAUUUUAAUUCCUGCCUCUGAAUCGACAGUACCGGCUCACAGCCAGACGGGUUUUGCUCUGGUUUGUUGGUGUUCAGUCAGCACGCCAUUCAGCUCUCUGGCUCAUGGAUUUUAAUAAUAAAGGCCUUUUAUAAACAUGUGCCACGAGAAGAAUCAAUUUUACUCAACGAUGAGUAUGAUAAUUCAGUUAGGACUGAUUUUAUAUACUGAAGCCAUGCUCUCCUGCAAUGACCAAUGACCAAUAACUGGCUGCUUUAUCAGAUUGCAUUAUAGGAAAUGUAGGCGCACCAGAGUGGUAGUGACAUUGUCAUCUGUUGAGGCAUGACUCAGACUGCCAUUUCCCGUGAUGCUCUAGGAGCUGAUGCUAGAGUGGGUCUGUCAAGGGGAAAGGACACACAUGCAUUUCAUUUCAUGAUUUUAAUGUUGCAGGCCACUGCAGGUCUGUUUUUCUGCAUGAGGCGAGCGGUAGACGCUCCCAGGUCUCGGGGCCAAACAUUUUGGAUCUCUGCCUCCUCAGCCUCCCCCAGCAGUCCUCCAGUAAAUGAGCAUGAGCCCCAUUCAUGUGGGGCCUGGCCAGGGCUUAAGCGCCAAGUGUGAGGUGCCAGUACUUCAGGCUCCCUCUGAUCCUUUUGGUUGCUUAAAGAGCAGGCCUGUGGCCCACCUGUGACCCGUGAUGAUCUGGAUAGAGGCAGGGGGUGGGGCAGCCCUGUUCUGCUCCCAGUUCUGCAUCCAGAGAUCACAUCUCAUUUUGUAUCUAUAGGCUCUUCCCACCUUCGAAAAUAGGUGCAAUCAGAACGUUUGGAGGACAUGAGAACAUGUCGAGCUGGCCCACUGCUACUUGCCAAGGCUCAGCUCCUAUCCCUACACACCAUCCAAGCUGAAGGAGCCACCAGGCAUCCUGCUAUAGCCUCCUGGCUUGUCAUCAUGCUGAGGGUGGUUGGGUGGGGGCAGGAUAGCCGUUUCCUUGCAGAAUGCCACCUGCCCCCUGACACGAGCUUUUGGCUGAUGGACCAGUAACGGAGUUGACAGACCCAGCUGACAAAAGCAGUUGUCUUGCACCUGCUCUGCCCUACCAGAGGGUGGCACCAUGAGCCUCAGAGCAAACUUCAGUUGCCAAUGGAGGGCACUUGCACCAAGAUGCCACAUAGGUUUCUCAUUUCAAUGCAGUCUUAGUACAUGCAGUCAGUUUCCCUGCUUUGCUGCACUCGGGUUUACGUAUCGAGCUGAAUCGAUAUCGCCUCUGCAGACGAUGGAAAGAAUAUCACUUCAUUGUUUCUGAAAUGAGCUGGAUUAUAAUUCAAAACCCUCUGACUUUUGAUUCCUAGAAGGUACUAGGCUGUGGAAGUAAUUCUUCACUCUGAAGCCGCACUUUACUUAUUAUAUAUUGAUCUGAGGGCUGGCCAGCCAUUUAGCGAUUCGCCUUGGUGAUUUUCGCUUACCGUAGGCUUCAGAAUGAGCUUUUGCUGCUGAUACUCGAUGACAGGACAUAAUAUCGGUGCUGAGAUGUUCCCAGUAGUUUGUCAGCAUCCUUAACCCAGUCCAUAGGGCCAAGGCCACUACAGCUUGAUUUUGUUAAUGCAGUAUGCUGAUGGACAGAUGGGCAGAUCGGUGGAAUCUGUCUGACUGUUCACCUCCUGCCUAAUCACUCGUUUGUAAAUCUGUUUAAAAAAAACAGUCACAGGGAGAGGUUUUUUUGGGGUUUUGUGCAGAGUGAGGUCAUGAUGAUUUUAAAGGGUCUUAUCUUAUUUUGUCUUUUAAUUGCAGUAUAAUAUUAUUGCAGGUAAGAAGACACACAGAUAAGGCCAUUGUCAUAAGGUACAAACACAAGGUAGGAAAGCAAGAGAAGGCAGGCAGAGAGGGUCAUAAGGCACAGAGCAGGUGAUAAGGCAGGCAGAGAGGGUCAUAAGGCACAGAGAGCAGGUGAUAAGGCAGGCAGAGAGGGUCAUAAGGCACAGAGAGCAGGUGAUAAGGCAGGCAGAGAGGGUCAUAAGGCACAGAGAGCAGGUGAUAAGGCAGGCAGAGAGGGUCAUAAGGCACAGAGAGCAGGUGAAAGGGCAGGCAGAGAGGGUCAUUAGGCACAGAGAGCAGGUGAUAAGGCAGGCAGAGAGGGUCAUAAGGCACAGAGAGCAGUUGAUAAGGCAGGCAGAGAGGGUCAUAAGGCACAGAGAGCAGGUGAUAAGGCAGGCAGAGAGGGUCAUAAGGCACAGAGAGCAGGUGAUAAGGCAGGCAGAGAGGGUCAUAAGGCACAGAGAGCAGGUGAUAAGGCAGGCAGAGAGGGUCAUAAGGCACAGAGAGCAGGUGAUAAGGCAGGCAGAGAGGGUCAUAAGGCACAGAGAGCAGGUGAUAAGGCAGGCAGAGAGGGUCAUAAGGCACAGAGCGGGUGGUAAGGCAGGCAGAGAGGGUCAUUAGGCACAGAGAGCAGGUGAAAGGGCAGGCAGAGAGGGUCAUUAGGCACAGAGAGCAGGUGAUAAGGCAGGUAGAGAGGGUCAGACACAGAAAAGCACCAAGAUGUAGAGGUAUGUCGGAGCUGCAGUCCUGUCCUCCAUCUGGCUGAAUAGCUCACAGCAUCCUGGACUUGCAGCUUACUGUUGCAAGGGGUGCUUUUCCUCAGACACACCGUGGUAAAAUAUGGAUUUUUUGUCUCCUUUGGAGGUGUUGGGAGUCCUAAUGUGUGUAUCGAUUUCUCCUGAUUAUGGAACGCGGGGGGGUUAUCUUUUAUCUAAAUUGAGCUAUAAUUGGCUGUGCCGAGCCUGCUCUUACAGUGCCGCCUCGCAAAGUGUCACAGUGCACAAGCUGUCAGGCAUGAUUUAGCAGCUUGCUGGGCACCUUUCCGCCACGCAUGGGCCCUUGUUAAACUAGCCCACAAAGGAAGUUUAGAACCUGGGCUCUCUCUGCUCAGCUCUGCGCGAGAGACCCAGUGUGACCGUGGCACACUCGCUGGCACUGUGCCACCCAGAGAAGAGGAGGAGCCAAUCAGUGCGCCUGGCAGCCAGAUACCCAGAAUGCCCUGCAUGGGAUAAUUAGUAUGGAAGGCCUGCUUCGGAGAGCAUAGCAGGGAAACAUAGCAGGCCACUGGUGGUCCACAAGUACUCCGGAAGUGGCCUUCAAAGGCUGCAGGCUCUGCUGGUUUUGAUCAGUCUUGGCUCUUCAAAUGUACCCCCCUGUCCCGGUGCCCCAGUGCAUACUGGAAAUGAUAUGGACUGGAAAAGCCUCCCAGCUGCAAUGCCCAACAUAUUGGGUGGAUCCCUGUGUCUGUGAUGAUUAGGAUCAUGUGGAAUUUUGAUGCAUUUCCUUUCGGUGUUUGGUCACAAAUCCCGGUGCUGUUUUGAGAUGUUCGAAUCUGCUGUAUCAUACAGGCCAUGUGUGAUCAGAUUACACACCGUUGCUAAUACUCAGCUGGUCAUCAGGCAUUAAACGACAAACCUUCCCAAAGCUCCCUAACCACAUACACUGGUGCAGGAUGUCUGUUUAAUUUAUGCUGCAUGUACAACAGGCUUUGCUAAUAUUCUUCCGGUCCUGUGGAGUACUCUUCACUCGGAUGCAGCCAUUGGCACAGUCAGUAGUGACAUCA